UACAGAGGGCUCAAGCGUUGUUCGGAUUCAUUGGGCGUAAAGGGUGCGUAGGUGGCGCCGUAAGUCAGGUGUGAAAUUUCGGAGCUUAACUCCGAAACUGCAUUUGAUACUGCGGUGCUUGAGGACUGGAGAGGAGACUGGAAUUUACGGUGUAGCAGUGAAAUGCGUAGAGAUCGUAAGGAAGACCAGUGGCGAAGGCGGGUCUCUGGACAGUUCCUGACGCUGAGGCGCGAAAGCCAGGGGAGCGAACGGG
RNAcentral lists this ribosomal RNA (253 nucleotides) under uncultured bacterium. Its description in RNAcentral is "partial 16S ribosomal RNA". It matches the Rfam family "Bacterial small subunit ribosomal RNA", at positions 524 to 776 of the family's 1533-position model. The record is from RNAcentral.